This 256-nucleotide ribosomal RNA is filed under the name uncultured bacterium. RNAcentral describes it as "partial 16S ribosomal RNA". It matches the Rfam family "Bacterial small subunit ribosomal RNA", at positions 524 to 776 of the family's 1533-position model. The record is from RNAcentral.
GACGUAGGGCGCGAGCGUUUGUCCGGAUUUAUUGGGCGUAAAGAGCUCGUAGGCGGCUCGUUGCGUCAGCUGUGAAAGUCCGAGGCUCAACCUCGGAUCUGCAGUGGGUACGGGCAGACUAGAGUGUGGUAGGGGGAGACUGGAAUUCCUGGUGUAGCGGUGGAAUGCGCAGAUAUCAGGAGGAACACCAAUAGCGAAGGCAGGUCUCUGGGCCACAACUGACGCUGAGGAGCGAAAGCAUGGGGGAGCGAACAGG